GUCCACGCCCUAAACGAUGAUCACUCGAUGUGUGCGAUAAACUGUACGCGUCCAAGCGAAAGCAUUAAGUGAUCCACCUGGGGAGUACGACCGCAAGGUUGAAACUCAAAGGAAUUGACGGGGGCCCCGCACAAGCGGAGGAGCAUGUGGUUUAAUUCGAUGAUACGCGAGGAACCUUACCAGGGCUUGAAAGUUAGUGAAGAAUGUGGAAACAUGUUCGUCAGCAAUGACACGAAACUAGGUGCUGCAUGGCUGUCGU
Molecule: ribosomal RNA, 259 nt
Filed under: uncultured bacterium
Lineage: Bacteria
Description: partial 16S ribosomal RNA
Rfam family: Bacterial small subunit ribosomal RNA
Source: RNAcentral